This 284-nucleotide unclassified non-coding RNA is filed under the name plant metagenome. RNAcentral describes it as "partial contains small subunit ribosomal RNA, internal transcribed spacer 1, and 5.8S ribosomal RNA". The stretch from base 1 to 53 matches the Rfam family "Eukaryotic small subunit ribosomal RNA", at positions 1778 to 1831 of the family's 1831-position model. The record is from RNAcentral.
GGAAGUAAAAGCGUAACAAGGUUUCCGUAGGUGAACCUGCGGAAGGAUCAUUAUCGUAUAACCGAGGUGCGAGGGCUGUCGCUGACCCGAAAGGUCGUGCACGCCCGAGUGCCCUCACACACAUCCAUCUCACCCCUAUGUGCACCACCGCGUGGGUCCCCCUUUGGCUUGUUCGGAGGGGGGCUUACGUUUUCACACAAACUUUGUAUGCAGUGUAGAAUGUAUUUUUUGUUUUUGCGAUCACGCAAUCAAUACAACUUUCAACAACGGAUCUCUUGGCUCUC